This 482-nucleotide ribosomal RNA is filed under the name uncultured bacterium. RNAcentral describes it as "partial 16S ribosomal RNA". It matches the Rfam family "Bacterial small subunit ribosomal RNA", at positions 28 to 507 of the family's 1533-position model. The record is from RNAcentral.
GAUGAACGCUAGCGGCAGGCCUAAUACAUGCAAGUCGGACGGGAUUCAGGAGCUUGCUUCUGAUGAGAGAGGCGCACGGGUGCGUAACACGUAUGUAACCUACCUUUAUCAGGGGGAUAGCCCCUCGAAAGAGAGAUUAAGCCCGCAUAAAAUCACAGCACAGCAUUGUGUAAUGAUCAAAUAUUUAUAGGAUAAAGAUGGGCAUGCGGAACAUUAGCUAGAUGGCGGGGUAACGGCCCACCAUGGCGACGAUGUUUAGGGGAUCUGAGAGGAUGGCCCCCCACACUGGUACUGAGACACGGACCAGACUCGUACGGGAGGCAGCAGUAAGGAAGAUAGGGCAAGGAGCGGAAGCGUGAACCAGCCAUGCCGCGUGCAGGAAGACCGGCCUACGGGUUGUAAACUGCUGUGAUACGGGAAUAAACCCAGAUACGUGUAUCUGGCUGAAGGUACUGUAAGAAUAAGGAUCGGCUAACUCCGUG